AUGGGAGAAAUCCGGGGCUUCCGGUCCAUGUUGGCCAGUCAGGAACUAAUUAAUAUGUUAGGGUACAUUAAAGAUCGUAUUUGGGAACACAUUCAGGGGUGGUUGAAAAAGCUGCUGUCAAAGAUUAAUAGCAUGAUUGGCGGAUAUUUCUGGGCUCAACAAGAAAAUGAAAACAAGGUUCAUUGGAUUAGUUGGGAGAAGCUUACACUGUCAAAGGAUAAAGGAGGUUUAGGAUAUAAGGAUCUUCAUUCAUUCAAAGUUCUAGUCCCUCGCCUUCUGGCUUAUGUCAAGCCGGAUUAUGUCAAGCCGGAUUAUGUCACGGUGGCCUCUGGCUUGACAUAA
RNAcentral lists this ribosomal RNA (342 nucleotides) under Triticum aestivum (bread wheat). RNAcentral's name for it is "partial small subunit ribosomal RNA". Lineage: Eukaryota; Viridiplantae; Streptophyta; Magnoliopsida; Poales; Poaceae. The record is from RNAcentral.